RNAcentral lists this ribosomal RNA (408 nucleotides) under Fejervarya limnocharis (Boie's wart frog). RNAcentral's name for it is "partial 12S rRNA". The record is from RNAcentral. Lineage: Eukaryota; Metazoa; Chordata; Amphibia; Anura; Dicroglossidae.
UAAAGGUUUGGUCCUAGCCUUAUUAUCAAUUAUCUCCCAACUUACACAUGCAAGUCUCAGCACCCCCGUGAGGAAGCCCUUAAACCCUACCCCAGGGUAAGGAGCCGGUAUCAGGCACUACUUUUGCCCAUAACACCUAGUUUCCACCACACCCCCAAGGGUCAUCAGCAGUGAUAAACAUUAUCUAUAAGCGAUAGCUUGACUUAGUUAGAGAGAAGAUAGUUGGCUAAUUCGGUGCCAGCCGCCGCGGUUAGACCCCCUGAACUAAAAUUGAUAAUCAUCGGCGUUAAGCGUGAUUAAAGCAAUAUAUAAUUAGAGUUAAACUCCCUGCCCAGCCGUGAAAAGCAUGCACUCCGGAACUCCAUGAACGAAAGUCACUCUACUCAAUGCUUGAAUACACGAUAGCUA